RNAcentral lists this ribosomal RNA (492 nucleotides) under uncultured bacterium. RNAcentral's name for it is "partial 16S ribosomal RNA". It matches the Rfam family "Bacterial small subunit ribosomal RNA", at positions 29 to 507 of the family's 1533-position model. The record is from RNAcentral.
AGUGAACGCUGGCGGUAGGCCUAACACAUGCAAGUCGAACGGCAGCACAGUAAGAGCUUGCUCUUACGGGUGGCGAGUGGCGGACGGGUGAGGAAUACAUCGGAAUCUACUUUUUCGUGGGGGAUAACGUAGGGAAACUUACGCUAAUACCGCAUACGACCUACGGUUGAAAGCAGGGGAUCUUCGGACCUUGCGCGAUUGAAUGAGCCGAUGUCGGAUUAGCUAGUUGGCGGGGUAAAGGCCCACCAAGGCGACGAUCCGUAGCUGGUCUGAGAGGAUGGUCAGCCACACUGGAACUGAGACACGGUCCAGACUCCUACGGGAGGCAGCAGUGGGGAAUAUUGGACAAUGGGCGCAAGCCUGAUCCAGCCAUCCCGCGUGGGUGAAGAAGGCCUUCGGGUUGUAAAGCCCUUUUGUUGGGAAAGAACAGCAGCAGGUUAAUACCCCGCUGUUCUGACGGUACCCAAAGAAUAAGCACCGGCUAACUUCGUG